GAUUAGCCACGAUAGCAACGGAAAUCCUCGAGGUUUGGCAAGUGAUUUUUUUCUAGCCAGAAAAGAGCGACUGCAAGAAGCUCCUUUUAUGGUGUAGAAAAAACAAUUGCUAACCAAGAGAUAUUAGUGUAUAGCGGGAAAUAGC
RNAcentral lists this unclassified non-coding RNA (145 nucleotides) under Flavobacterium omnivorum. RNAcentral describes it as "Flavo-1 RNA". The record is from RNAcentral. Lineage: Bacteria; Pseudomonadati; Bacteroidota; Flavobacteriia; Flavobacteriales; Flavobacteriaceae.